GUGACAAUAAUUCUUUGUGGCAGAAUCUAGAAGAGUUGUCCCCGUCGGGAUGGCGGGGACGCGGAUGGUUGCCUGCUCCCCGACCCCGAUCCCUGCCCUGCAAAGAAGACGCGGCUUUGUAGUCGUAGUAGCCAGGAGCGCAAGGCCCAUAAAAAGGCCCAUUAGCUCCGAAGUAUAUAUACGCACUAACCCUAAUUCACACCCCCACCCAGCCACUCCAUCGGUCCAUCCAGCCCCAGCCCCUAGCGGCGCACCCAAGCGAGCGGCGGCAGACCACGCGAGCGCAAGCGCGACUGCGGCACUGCGCACUCGAACAGCAGCCAGCAAGUAGCAACUCGGUGGAUCCACCAUUCCACCCUGCGUCCAGGACUCCAGGUCUCCAGUCUCCAGAGUCCAGGCAUCGACGUCCACCCUGCAGCAUAGCAGCAGUGAUUCUGCGGUCCGCGUGCAGCCGUCCAUGCGCAGCCUUGGAGAUUCUGCCGUCCUCGCACAGCUGUUGCAGGUGGGCCUCGGAUCCUCGCCGCUGGAGCUCACAGGUAACAUGGAUAUGCCUGGAUCUGAAUCUCCCAUGAGUUCGGAUGGAGAAGAAAGGUUGAAGUGGAGGCCUAUCUUGCUCAAAUAACUGAAGAUGAGCAAGAUCUAAAGACAUCAGUUGAAGCUAUAGCUCAUGUUCCGCCCAAAUCAACUUUCCUUCGCAAUGUUGGCAUGGAGUCCAAAUAGAUGAAGAAAGAUGCUAAAGCUGCUGCAAUGAACAAGCGUGUGCAAGAACUGAUGUUCUGGAUGUAGCUGAUGUUCUAAAGACAUUUGACAUUCUUGAUGUAGCCUUUGUUCUACAGACAUUUGAGAUUUUGGAUGUGCAGCCUAUGUUCUGCAGUCAUUUGUGUUUUUGGUGUUGUAUUACAUUUUGAAACCUGUAUAAAAUGCAUGUGAUAUUUUAAUUAAUUGUGGAGAUUGCUUAUUUGAUUCUA
This is a long non-coding RNA of Sorghum bicolor (sorghum), 968 nucleotides long. RefSeq lists it as uncharacterized. NCBI's taxonomy places the organism in Eukaryota, Viridiplantae, Streptophyta, Magnoliopsida, Poales, Poaceae. The transcript has 2 exons. The record is from RefSeq and is a predicted model, not a curated record.